This 431-nucleotide ribosomal RNA is filed under the name Cerocoma graeca. RNAcentral's name for it is "partial large subunit ribosomal RNA". It matches the Rfam family "Bacterial large subunit ribosomal RNA", at positions 1930 to 2572 of the family's 2925-position model. Lineage: Eukaryota; Metazoa; Arthropoda; Insecta; Coleoptera; Meloidae. The record is from RNAcentral.
GCCGCAGUAUAUUGACUGUGCAAAGGUAGCAUAAUCAUUAGUUUUUUAAUUGAAAGCUGGUAUGAAUGGUCGGAUGAGGAAGAUUCUGUCUCAUUAUAAUUUUAAUUGAAUUUUAUUUUUAAGUUAAAAAGCUUAAAUUUUAUAGAAAGACGAGAAGACCCUAUAGAGUUUAAUAGGUUUAUGUUGUAAUGAAUUUAGGGCUAUAUUUUUAUUAUGGCGUAUACUAUUUUGUUGGGGUGACACUAGAAUUUGAGUAACUUCUUUAUAUAUUAACACUGAUUAGUGAAUAUUGGAUCCUGAAGUUUGGAUUAUAAGACUAAAUUACCUUAGGGAUAACAGCGUAAUUCUUUUGGAGAGUUCUAAUCAAUAAAAGGGAUUGCGACCUCGAUGUUGGAUUAAAGUUAAAUUCUGGUGCAGAAGCUAGGAUUUUG